RNAcentral lists this ribosomal RNA (253 nucleotides) under uncultured bacterium. RNAcentral describes it as "partial 16S ribosomal RNA". It matches the Rfam family "Bacterial small subunit ribosomal RNA", at positions 524 to 776 of the family's 1533-position model. The record is from RNAcentral.
UACGUAGGGGGCAAGCGUUAUCCGGAUUUACUGGGUGUAAAGGGAGCGUAGGUGGUUCGGCAAGUCUGAUGUGAAAGCCCGGGGCUCAACCCCGGGAUUGCAUUGGAAACUACCGAACUAGAGUGCAGGAGAGGUAAGUGGAAUUCCUAGUGUAGCGGUGAAAUGCGUAGAUAUUAGGAGGAACACCAGUGGCGAAGGCGGCUUACUGGACUGUAAAUGACACUGAGGCUCGAAAGCGUGGGGAGCAAACAGG